CUUAUAUUUGGCACCCCGAGGCCCCUCGCAAAGUCUCGCCCCAUUCCGAGUCCGGCGGACGAACUUCGCCCGCGCCCCCCACCUAGGCUAUAGCCCACCCGUUUUUUGGCCAUUUUUCCGCUGGGGGGUUUUGGCACCACGACCUUCGGGCACUUAUUUUUGGACGCGGCUGUGCCCGCGACUUCCCGCGGGCACCCCGAGGCCCCUCGCAAAGUCUCGCCCCAUUCCGAGUCCGGCGGACGAACUUCGCCCGCGCCCCCCACCAAGGCUAUAGCCCACCCGUUUUUUGGCCAUUUUUCCGCUGGGGAGUUUUGGCACCACGACCUUCGGGUGCUUAUUUUUGGGCGUGGCUUUGCCCGCGGCUUAUUUUUGGUGCCCCGAGGCCCCUCACAAAGUCUCGCCCCAUUCCGAGUCCGGCGGACGAAGUUCGCCCGCGCCCCCCACCAAGGCUAUAGACCACCCGUUUUUUGGCCAUUUUUCCGCUGGGGGGUUUUGGCACCACGACCUUCGGGCGCUUAUUUUUGGAUACGGCUGUGCCCGCGACUUCCCGCGGGCACCCCGAGGCCCCUCGCAAAGUCUCGCCCCAUUCCGAGUCCGGCGGACGAACUUCGCCCGCGCCCCCCACCAAGGCUAUAGCCCACCCGUUUUUUGGCCAUUUUUCCGCUGGGGGGUUUUGGCACCACGACCUUCGGGCGCUUAUUUUUGGACGCGGCUGUGCCCGCGACUUUCCGCGGGCACCUUGAGGCCCCUCGCAAAGUCUCGCCCCAUUCCGAGUCUGGCGGACGAACUUCGCCCGCGCCCCCCACCAAGGCUAUAGCCCACCCGUUUUUUGGUCAUUUUUCCGCUGGGGGGUUUUGGCACCACGACCUUCGGGCGCUUAUUUUUGGACACGGCUGUGCCCGCGACUUCCCGCGGGCACCCCGAGGCCCCUCGCAAAAUCUCGCCCCAUUCCGAGUCUGGCGGACGAACUUCGCCCGCUCCCCCCACCAAGGCUAUAGCCCACCCGUUUUUUGGCCAUUUUUCCGCUGGGGGGUUUUGGCACCACGACCUUCGGGCGCUUAUUUUUGGGCGCGGCUGUGCCCGCGACUUCCGCGGGCACCCCCGAGCCCCUCGCAAAGUCUCGCCCCAUUCCGAGUCCGGCGGACGAACUUU
This 1152-nucleotide long non-coding RNA is filed under the name Citrus x clementina. RNAcentral's name for it is "Citrus clementina (C. clementina) long non-coding RNA (CCLE_LNC005851)". Lineage: Eukaryota; Viridiplantae; Streptophyta; Magnoliopsida; Sapindales; Rutaceae. The record is from RNAcentral.